Molecule: long non-coding RNA, 741 nt
Organism: Carica papaya (papaya)
Lineage: Eukaryota; Viridiplantae; Streptophyta; Magnoliopsida; Brassicales; Caricaceae
Source: RefSeq, a predicted model, not a curated record
UUCAGGGUUUAUUUUGGUUCUCAUUUUUUCAGAUGGAAGAGAAAACCAGAGGCAGGAGAGGAUACUUCAGUGGCGUUGGUGAUGAUUGAUGAAGGGCUUUUGUUGAGAGCCGAAGGAGAACAAAGGAGAAAACAAAGGAAGUUACAAAGUCUAUAUUAAUAGAGGAUUUCCAAUCUGGGCCUCUUAGUUUCGUCUAGCAUUACUCUUCUGUGAACCAUAUUUUGGAAGGAGUAUGAGGUGGAGAUUCUUUCCAGGAUGAGGGAAGCUUGAAUCGGAACUUAGCCAUGAUGGCAAUAUGGUCUGAUGACCAUAUUGGUGAUGGAAGACCACGUCCCAAGCUCUCCUGGUCGAGAAGUUCCAGUAGACCUUCAACCAUGAAGCAGUUUGCUGUAUAGGAAAAAACAACUUAAACUCAGUAUCACAAACAAAGUUGAGUAAAUUCGUUAAUACUUGCAGAUGUAUUUCUGAUAGCAAGGACUUCUAACAACAGGCGCCAAUGACAAUAUUUAAGCCAGAACAACACAGGGAAAAAGCCAUUGCAAUAAUUAAAUUUGAAUGUUGGCAUAUGCUACAGGCAUUUUGUUAUUGCAGAAGGAAAAUCUAUCCAAUAAGUACCACAAAUUGAGCUGCUAAAAAGCCUACAAAUUCAUAAUUAUUUUGACACAUCAAAAGGGUUCAAGUGAGAACUCUUUUGAUUUAGAUAUACUCUUGCUAAUUCUGAAUAAUGAUUUGUCCGAGCCA